Molecule: transfer RNA, 75 nt
Filed under: Planotetraspora kaengkrachanensis
Lineage: Bacteria; Bacillati; Actinomycetota; Actinomycetes; Streptosporangiales; Streptosporangiaceae
Description: tRNA-Ala
Rfam family: tRNA
About the family: Transfer RNA (tRNA) molecules are approximately 80 nucleotides in length. Their secondary structure includes four short double-helical elements and three loops (D, anti-codon, and T loops).
Source: RNAcentral
GGGGCCGUAGCGCAGAGGUCGUCGCGUCCCUUUGGCAAAGGGGAGGACGCCGGUUCGAAUCCGGCCGGCCUCGCC